GCGUCGCGAGUGGCAAGGUUUCGUGCAACACUGGCCAACCCCAACCGUUGCGCGCACACGUCGUCGUUGCCUCACCUGGCGACUGCGCAUCGAACCCGUCGUCGCUCGUUGGCUAGCAGCAGAGACCCUCUUGCUCGUUCCCGUGUUUCAUUUCCCGCACGGUGAACUCAGGCGCGCGCGUAUGCGCAACAAGGACGCGCAGCCCGGUGUUCGCCCGGCCAAAUGCACGCGACAAGGACCGAACGAGGCGCGUUAAAAAAACGCGGAAAUUACCAGCCAACGACGAUAACGCGACGCACGACGGACGAGCGUCGUUGCACGUUGCCAGCAGCGAAAACGCAACGUAGCCAGGUUAAAAGAGACGAAGGGAAAGGCAGGUCAAAGCAGCGACGCACUGGCCAGGUGCGCAGACAUUCCACUCGCUUUGCGGUACGCUCGCCCCGCUUCCCCCGACCACGAUUAUUUUCCACCUGGAGCGCCACGUUUUACUUCUUUAUGGCGGACCGAGCGAUAGGAACGCAUACGGAUGCCCGAUUGGAGGAGGUGCGACAAGGAGAAGGUGGAAGGUGGUGAUCGCGAGGAAACAAAAAUGGCGGCUAACCGAAGCGCGCUUCUUCCGAGUUAUAAAGAGGCUCUAUAACCGAUCACAGAGUUUACGUCGAAUCGACUUAGGAAGGAGAACGAAAGAGAGCGAAGGAAAGCUAACGAACAACAGGUUGGCACGUUGAACGUGUGGGGUGGGAAGACGGGAGAAUGAGAAGAGCUACGUAGAGACAGAGAAGCAGAAAACGGGAAAGCAAUCAUCGUUGGAUUUGGUAGGAAUAUCCGUAGAAGCGAAAUGCUUAGCGCUAUGUAAGAGCGACGACGUCGUGACAGGGAGACCGGAUUGGUCGGUCACCUGUUGCCUGCCUGCUGUGAUUGGUCGGGCUCGACAGCGCGUAACGACGGCCAGAGGAGGACAAGUGCACCGUCCGCUGGUCUAUGAUGGACCAACGUCGAAAAUGGGCAUACUCGUAUAUGUAUACGAUGUAAACUUUUGUCCUUGCUCGCGCGAACAAAUCAACUACGUUGUUAUUACGAUACCUUUUUGUUGUUCGCCAUUCACGUAAAUUCGUUCUUACGUUCGAUACGUACGUUCUACGUGCGCACAUAUCGGAGCGGACAUUAUUGCUUCGACGUUUAUUUACGCGCUUGGUCUUUAACUGCAUUCUACGAUAUAAAUAUUUAUCAGCGUUACCUUCGAAUUAUUUACGUUUCUUAAAUAAAGGUAAAGUUUAAAUACCUAUGCGGUACGAGAGAUAAAGAAAAGAUAUACGUACAUACGUAUACGUACAUAUGUCUAAUGCGACAGCGGGUCUAAUAUUUGCGAUAUGACUAUCGUGAAACGCGAAAUUAUAAAUGGACGUUGCGUGUACGACGGCAUGUAAGACGGAAUAACAGGGACGAAAUCCUUGUACGCGCGGCGGAACAGGUGUACAAAGUUCGCGCGAACGGACGAUGGGAAUCGCGCGAGACCAAAGUCUACGCUCGAGGAGCAAAGUCUGCGCGGACGAUGGAAGGAAAGCCGGUUCGCGAUAUCGGACUCUGAACUUUUCGCGUUACAUUCGUAUUACUUCUGUGUUGGCGAAUGUUACGCUGUUCGAGAAUAGA
This 1650-nucleotide unclassified non-coding RNA is filed under the name Bombus terrestris (buff-tailed bumblebee). RNAcentral describes it as "misc RNA ENSBTSG00005036641.1". The record is from RNAcentral. Lineage: Eukaryota; Metazoa; Arthropoda; Insecta; Hymenoptera; Apidae.